RNAcentral lists this ribosomal RNA (314 nucleotides) under uncultured soil bacterium. RNAcentral's name for it is "bacterial SSU rRNA". It matches the Rfam family "Bacterial small subunit ribosomal RNA", at positions 26 to 363 of the family's 1533-position model. The record is from RNAcentral.
AGAACGAACGCUGGCGGCAGGCUUAACACAUGCAAGUCGAACGGUUGUAGCAAUACAGCAGUGGCAGACGGGUGAGUAACACGUGGGAACCUUCCUAGGGGUACGGAACAACUCAGGGAAACUUGAGCUAAUACCGUAUACGUCCGUGAGGAGAAAGAUUUAUCGCCCCUAGACGGGCCCGCGUAGGAUUAGGUAGUUGGUGAGGUAACGGCUCACCAAGCCUACGAUCCUUAGCUGAUCUGAGAGGAUGAUCAGCCACACUGGGACUGAGACACGGCCCAGACCUCCGUACGGGAGGCAGCAGGUGGGGGAAC